AGGAAAGUGGAAUGACCAACCUCCAAGGUGUAGAGCAAUAAAAUGUGACGCCCCGGCUAACAUUGAACACGGUCGUGUGUCUGACAAUCGUCAAGAGUACAAAGAAAAUGAAGAGUUGAAUUUUGUCUGUAAUGAGGGAUA
Molecule: long non-coding RNA, 141 nt
Organism: Melanotaenia boesemani (Boeseman's rainbowfish)
Lineage: Eukaryota; Metazoa; Chordata; Actinopteri; Atheriniformes; Melanotaeniidae
Exons: 2
Source: RefSeq, a predicted model, not a curated record